This 497-nucleotide ribosomal RNA is filed under the name uncultured bacterium. RNAcentral's name for it is "partial 16S ribosomal RNA". It matches the Rfam family "Bacterial small subunit ribosomal RNA", at positions 28 to 507 of the family's 1533-position model. The record is from RNAcentral.
GAUGAACGCUGGCGGCGUGCCUAAUACAUGCAAGUCGAGCGAACGGACGAGAAGCUUGCUUCUCUGAUGUUAGCGGCGGACGGGUGAGUAACACGUGGAUAACCUACCUAUAAGACUGGGAUAACUUCGGGAAACCGGAGCUAAUACCGGAUGAUAUUUUGAACCGCAUGGUUCAAAAGUGAAAGACGGUCUUGCUGUCACUUAUAGAUGGAUCCGCGCUGCAUUAGCUAGUUGGUAAGGUAACGGCUUACAAAGGCAACGAUGCAUAGCCGACCUGAGAGGGUGAUCCGCCACACUGGCACUGAGACACGGUCCAGACUCCUACGCGAGGCAGCAGUAGGGAAUCUUCCGCAAUGGGCGAAAGCCUGACGGAGCAACGCCGCGUGAGUGAUGAAGGUCUUCGGAUCGUAAAACUCUGUUAUUAGGGAAGAACAUAUGUGUAACUAACUGUGCACAUCUGGACGGUACCUAAUCAGAAAGCCACCGCUAACUACGUG